This is a long non-coding RNA of Nylanderia fulva, 528 nucleotides long. RefSeq lists it as uncharacterized. NCBI's taxonomy places the organism in Eukaryota, Metazoa, Arthropoda, Insecta, Hymenoptera, Formicidae. The record is from RefSeq and is a predicted model, not a curated record.
CAUAAUAAAAAUGGUGUAUGAGCUUUUAUAGCUCUAGCCAAACAAGAAGAAAAAGAAGAAGACCGAAUUCGCACCUUGUGCAGCAAGAACCAAAAAUCAGAACGGAUGUCUGCAGGCGAUGCUUUAAAUUCUUCACUACUGAUUACGUCAACACUGCGUAUGUUUGCCAUCCAUUUGGAUUGCUUCUAUGGACUUAACUCAACGAAGGUGUCAGAGAAUCAUGCUUAUUAUCACCGAUAUAAGUUUGUACAUUGGUAGUACUAGGCAUCAGUAUCAGAAUCUUUUUUAAGCACAAUUUUCACAACAUUGUGCUUUAUCAAGUUGUUUAUCAAAUCUGCCUUCAUCUUCUGCGCCUUACUUGUGGCAAUAAAUUUCUGCUUCCUGCGCAAGGCCUGUGGAACAAAAGAAUGAGAAGGCUCUUUUCUCACUACCUGGUUCCCACACUGAGAGCUAAUUAUGUACGAACAAUAUUAUAAUCUAGAUAAAAGAACAGUUUUGUUUGUGCAUAAAUACAUAGUAUGUUUAAAA